This 1522-nucleotide ribosomal RNA is filed under the name Escherichia coli. RNAcentral's name for it is "bacterial SSU rRNA". It matches the Rfam family "Bacterial small subunit ribosomal RNA". Lineage: Bacteria; Pseudomonadati; Pseudomonadota; Gammaproteobacteria; Enterobacterales; Enterobacteriaceae. The record is from RNAcentral.
AGAGUUUGAUCAUGGCUCAGAUUGAACGCUGGCGGCAGGCCUAACACAUGCAAGUCGAACGGUAACAGAAAGCAGCUUGCUGCUUUGCUGACGAGUGGCGGACGGGUGAGUAAUGUCUGGGAAACUGCCUGAUGGAGGGGGAUAACUACUGGAAACGGUAGCUAAUACCGCAUAAUGUCGCAAGACCAAAGAGGGGGACCUUCGGGCCUCUUGCCAUCGGAUGUGCCCAGAUGGGAUUAGCUUGUUGGUGGGGUAACGGCUCACCAAGGCGACGAUCCCUAGCUGGUCUGAGAGGAUGACCAGCCACACUGGAACUGAGACACGGUCCAGACUCCUACGGGAGGCAGCAGUGGGGAAUAUUGCACAAUGGGCGCAAGCCUGAUGCAGCCAUGCCGCGUGUAUGAAGAAGGCCUUCGGGUUGUAAAGUACUUUCAGCGGGGAGGAAGGGAGUAAAGUUAAUACCUUUGCUCAUUGACGUUACCCGCAGAAGAAGCACCGGCUAACUCCGUGCCAGCAGCCGCGGUAAUACGGAGGGUGCAAGCGUUAAUCGGAAUUACUGGGCGUAAAGCGCACGCAGGCGGUUUGUUAAGUCAGAUGUGAAAUCCCCGGGCUCAACCUGGGAACUGCAUCUGAUACUGGCAAGCUUGAGUCUCGUAGAGGGGGGUAGAAUUCCAGGUGUAGCGGUGAAAUGCGUAGAGAUCUGGAGGAAUACCGGUGGCGAAGGCGGCCCCCUGGACGAAGACUGACGCUCAGGUGCGAAAGCGUGGGGAGCAAACAGGAUUAGAUACCCUGGUAGUCCACGCCGUAAACGAUGUCGACUUGGAGGUUGUGCCCUUGAGGCGUGGCUUCCGGAGCUAACGCGUUAAGUCGACCGCCUGGGGAGUACGGCCGCAAGGUUAAAACUCAAAUGAAUUGACGGGGGCCCGCACAAGCGGUGGAGCAUGUGGUUUAAUUCGAUGCAACGCGAAGAACCUUACCUGGUCUUGACAUCCACAGAACUUUCCAGAGAUGGAUUGGUGCCUUCGGGAACUGUGAGACAGGUGCUGCAUGGCUGUCGUCAGCUCGUGUUGUGAAAUGUUGGGUUAAGUCCCGCAACGAGCGCAACCCUUAUCCUUUGUUGCCAGCGGUCCGGCCGGGAACUCAAAGGAGACUGCCAGUGAUAAACUGGAGGAAGGUGGGGAUGACGUCAAGUCAUCAUGGCCCUUACGACCAGGGCUACACACGUGCUACAAUGGCGCAUACAAAGAGAAGCGACCUCGCGAGAGCAAGCGGACCUCAUAAAGUGCGUCGUAGUCCGGAUUGGAGUCUGCAACUCGACUCCAUGAAGUCGGAAUCGCUAGUAAUCGUGGAUCAGAAUGCCACGGUGAAUACGUUCCCGGGCCUUGUACACACCGCCCGUCACACCAUGGGAGUGGGUUGCAAAAGAAGUAGGUAGCUUAACCUUCGGGAGGGCGCUUACCACUUUGUGAUUCAUGACUGGGGUGAAGUCGUAACAAGGUAACCGUAGGGGAACCUGCGGUUG